This 413-nucleotide ribosomal RNA is filed under the name uncultured bacterium. RNAcentral describes it as "bacterial SSU rRNA". It matches the Rfam family "Bacterial small subunit ribosomal RNA", at positions 505 to 916 of the family's 1533-position model. The record is from RNAcentral.
GUGCCAGCAGCCGCGGUAAUACGUAGGGUGCAAGCGUUAAUCGGAAUUACUGGGCGUAAGGCGUGCGCAGGCGGUUUUGUAAGUCUGGCGUGAAAUCCCCGGGCUUAACCUGGGAAUGGCAUUGGUGACUGCACGGCUAGAGUGUGUCAGAGGGGGGUAGAAUUCCACGUGUAGCAGUGAAAUGCGUAGAGAUGUGGAGGAAUACCGAUGGCGAAGGCAGCCCCCUGGGAUAACACUGACGCUCAUGCACGAAAGCGUGGGGAGCAAACAGGAUUAGAUACCCUGGUAGUCCACGCCCUAAACGGUGCAUACUAUUAGUAUGGGGUAUCGACCCCCUGUGCUGAGAAGCUAACGCGAUAAGUAUGCCGCCUGGGGAGUACGAGCGCAAGCUUAAAACUCAAAGGAAUUGACGG